UACGGGAAGGCAGCAGUGGGGAAUAUUGCACAAUGGGCGCAAGCCUGAUGCAGCCAUGCCGCGUGUAUGAAGAAGGCCUUCGGGUUGUAAAGUACUUUCAGUCGUGAGGAAGGUGUUAAGGUUAAUAACCUUAGCAAUUGACGUUAGCGACAGAAGAAGCACCGGCUAACUCCGUGCCAGCAGCCGCGGUAAUACGGAGGGUGCGAGCGUUAAUCGGAAUUACUGGGCGUAAAGGGCACGCAGGCGGUUAAUUAAGUUGGAUGUGAAAUCCCCGGGCUUAACCUGGGAAUGGCAUUCAAGACUGGUUAGCUAGAGUCUUGUAGAGGGGGUAGAAUUCCAUGUGUAGCGGUGAAAUGCGUAGAGAUGUGGAGGAAUACCGGUGGCGAAGGCGGCCCCUGGGACAAAGGACUGACGCUCAUGUGCGAAAGCGUGGGGAGCAAACAGGGAUUAGAUACC
Molecule: ribosomal RNA, 456 nt
Filed under: uncultured bacterium
Lineage: Bacteria
Description: bacterial SSU rRNA
Rfam family: Bacterial small subunit ribosomal RNA
Source: RNAcentral